Eucalyptus grandis is the source of this 758-nucleotide long non-coding RNA. RefSeq lists it as uncharacterized. NCBI's taxonomy places the organism in Eukaryota, Viridiplantae, Streptophyta, Magnoliopsida, Myrtales, Myrtaceae. The record is from RefSeq and is a predicted model, not a curated record. The transcript has 3 exons.
GAAGAAAAUCAAGGCGUUUUGCCUUUGCUACCCAAUCAACGGCAUGGUUAGCCUCUCUCGGACAAAAUGCGAGAUUUGAUUUGGUCAGUUGGGCCAAAAGUUAUUUGCAUACCUGUACUUGUUCCUUCACGGCCCAUGGCGCUUCUUCACGGCCCAGCACGGAGUCAACCAACGUGCGACAAUCACUUUCACAAAGUACACUCCAGUUCAGUUCGUGUGUUGUGUUCGCGUGAAGUUCUUCUCUCUGUUUCAGCAGGAGCAGCCUGUGAAGCAGGGCUAGGGUUUCCGCCUGUAAGGACGAAGACGUGUGAGUUUUUUUGGCGAAUCCAUCUACAAUAAUGCCUCUGGAGUGUCAAAGGAUGCCCGCAAUCGAGCUUUGCUCAUCUCCUUCCACCCACGAGCUGUCCACGUUCAAUUUCAGAUCUGGGUCGUCUGGCGCUUUCCAUUUCACAAGUGAUGUCGCCAUAUCUCUCAUUUCUUUGUGUUUGCGCGGAUUCCAACGCUGAUAAUUCUGAUUUUGUGCUAGGGCACUUUCAAUUAGAGCCUCCGGUUGCGCCUUCCUGUUCCGAAAAACAACGUUGUUCCUGUUUUUCCAGAUCUGCCAAAGCAUCUCCGCGACUAUUUCUUCAUCAAUGAAAAAAGAAGUGCUCGACUAUCUCAGGAUGUUUAGAAUAUAAGGGGUAUAGCGGGUCAGAUACAAGGAGAGAAGAAGGGGGCUGUGAUCCGACCCCACCGCUAGUAAUGCCAAAACUUCAGCA